Molecule: long non-coding RNA, 3032 nt
Organism: Capra hircus (goat)
Lineage: Eukaryota; Metazoa; Chordata; Mammalia; Artiodactyla; Bovidae
Exons: 3
Source: RefSeq, a predicted model, not a curated record
UGGUGUUUUUUUGCAUAACUUCUAUAUAACCUGGCUUUCCCCACCGCCCACCUCAGUUCAGCUCUCUCGGUGUUACUUGAGAUGCUGUCUCCUGUGCUUAAAGUCCUAAAAAUUUCCACCAAAUAAAACAUAACUCUCAACUUUUAGGUUGUGAAUAUUCUUAAGUCCACAGUUAUGGUGACUGCUGAAGUGACCGGAGCAGAUUCUUCUUCGCCUGAAUUCAGCCAGGUUUAUGUAUGUACAGAAUUUACAGGGUAGGCAUGUUUCCACUGGGAAAUACUUCGUGUGUGUGAUACUGUAAAACAAGGUAUAUAAAGCUGCGCCGCAGGAACUCAAAACUGAACGUACUAAAGGAAACCAACCUGAGCCAUACAACUUCCAGUUGACUCUCGGAUACGUCAAAGGAACAUCUCUGAAAGAUCUUGGAGAGGAAUAUUAAACUAAAUUUAUUUGGUAUGUUAAAUUACUUAGGAAGUAUUGUCAAGUAACUGAAGAUGAACCUUAGGUUAUAGUGCAUGGAUAAACGUCAUUAAUAUAUUCCAAAAUUUAUAUGGAAUCCCUACUCUCUGAUAUGUCCUGAUAUAAUGUUAUUAAUCAUAAUUCUAGUUAUUAUCCUAAAAUGUUAUAUCACAAAAAUAUCCAAGUUUCCUGCUAAUUGCAUUGUACUUAAAUCUUUAACCAUAGUAUUUUAAGCUUUGUCCUUUAUAGACAAUAAUUAUUUUAUACUGAUGCUUUUACAAAAUGAAGAUUUUCAAGAAGACUCAUGAAAAUAACUUUUUAAACAAAAAUUUCUGAUAGCUUUAGAUGCCACUGAACUGGGUAACAAGUGACAAAACUAAUGGAAUAUCUGAUUCCUUCAUCCAGAUGAACAGGAAUUAAUUACAUAGGACUGAAUGGUGAAUAGAAUUUAUAACUAUGACUUUUGUCAAUGGUACUAGCUGUAUUACUUGUAUCUUUUUUAUAAUACCGUGUCUAUUUUGUGAGAUUGUCUUUUACAGUACCCAGUGUAUAACCGGGCCUCCACCAAAAUUGAUGAUGGCUAAACAGCUUGAGGAAAUUGAUCAUAUUUAUGACUCUCAUAAAAUAACUGUAACAGUGUGAUUCUAGGUGUGGGAAUAGGCAGCAAGGAAGAACAUUUCCUGGAUGCUGAUAAGACAGAGGGUCCAGAGAACCUUUCAUCAUCAACAGGGCCUAAUCUGGAACUUUGCACCUGGAGUGGCAUGCCAGGAGAAACUUCCGCCUGAUCUGGGAUGAGCCUCCCUGUGCCCAGGGAUAAUAAUUGGUCAUGAAAUGUCUCCCGAUAUUGGUCAAAUUCUGGUUCAAGAGAAGGAUCUAAGAGAAUAUUUCCGGCCAUAUCAGUAAACAAGGAUGUCACAGUCAUCAGCGACUCCAGCCCUGCAACAUGAGCCUGAGAAACUCAGGAAAGACAAGAAGACCUGCCAUCUAGCAGCUGGCCUGCAGCCACUCCCUGUGGUGAGCCCUGGCCCCAGAUAGGAGAGGUACACAUCAAAGGAAUGAUUUCUGUGAGCCCCGAACUUCUUGCAUCUUCCCAUACAGAGCAAAGAGCUAAAUUCCUGAUCUCGAGAUAUCUGGUUUUCUUAAAUUAACAAACAUCUUGUUCUGACUACUUGCCCUUUGUUGAAAAAUUCUAUAUAAUAUAGCUCCCCCUCAUCGCCUCCUUGGAGCAGUUCUCUCAGGGUUACUUUAGAUGCUGUCUCCUGGGCUUGAAAUCCUAAAAAUUCCCGCCAAAUAAAACAUAACUCUCAACUUUAAGGUUGUGAAUAUUUUUUUUAAGUCCACACUGUAGUUUAGUUUAAUAAUUUUUCUUAAACCUACUUUUUUGAAUUUUUAAAGUAAAUCUCCUGGUGUUCUACGCUGUGGAAACCUGACCCUUCCCUUCCUCACCUGAACAAACAUCCCCAGAACAUCCUUUUAUCCCUCACAGCAGGGACACUGGAACGUAAAAGUUUCCACCCAUUUAAAGGCUUAGAUGUUCAUUUCUUAGUGACUGAAUUAUUAACAGAGUACAAGGCACAUUUUCAGGGCUUUAGAUGCCUUUCAUCAGAGCUCACAACAAGCCCAUUUAUGAAGAGGAACCACAGGCAAGGAGAGGUUAAGAAACCUUCCCCCAGACCCACACGCACACCUACCUUUGAUUGGCCACCUCUGUAAUGAAAACCUAGGAGCAGGAAAGUCAGCCAUGCCAGCUCAGCACCCAGGGUCGGUCUGAGUAAUCAGAAGCCCUUUAGGAUUUGGCAGCUAACUUGGGGAAACUCUUGACUCUAAAACAUAACACCAUAAAGAUGAACACUGGACAGUCAUUUCAUUUGAACUUGAAAAAUUUUGUUAUUUACCUUGAAGUGGGUUUCUUUUUUGAUGGUGGAGGGAGGGGAGAUUUUCGCUUGUAGUCAUCACUAGACGUUUACUUAGGUCCCGCGGGUGGUGGUUUAUGCAUUCUUGUGUGAGCCACAGCCAAGGACAUUCAGCCCUUUGUUGAAAAUGAUACUCCAGGGAAGUGGCUUUUCCUCACUAUAUACACAUACAUUAAUAGUAAUGUAUUCACUGUGCUGCCACAAAGCAAGAAUUCCCAUGUUCAUAUCUUACCUACAGCAGUGAGGCUGCAGGGAAAACUGUAUACACAGAUGUUGCUGAAAUUUUCGGAAGGGUUCAGGGCCUCACAAAGGUCAAGUGGAAGGUUUUCACCAUAGUGAUGGCUGAUGGGUUUUUAAAGAGAAGAGAGGCAAUAAACAUUCAUUCCCUCAUUCGCUCUGUCCCCUAAACUCAAAGAACCUCACAGAGGCCAAAGAGAGUUUGAAAUUGCUAUCUUCAUAACAGCAUUGUUUACAAGUAGCAAGGACACGAAACAACCUAAAUGUCCAUCAAGAGAGGAAUGGAGAAAGAUGUGGUGCGCACAAGGGAAGAUGACGCAGCCGUGACAAGGGACAAAUGCCAUUUGCAGCAACGUGGAUGAACUGAAAGACAGAUACAUACUAUCACUUACAUGUGGAGUCUUUUUUUUUAAGGGAUAUACA